This 2494-nucleotide long non-coding RNA is filed under the name Canis lupus familiaris (dog). RNAcentral describes it as "lncRNA (ENSCAFG00845024659.1)". The record is from RNAcentral. Lineage: Eukaryota; Metazoa; Chordata; Mammalia; Carnivora; Canidae.
UUUUUCUUUUUUCUUUUUUUCUUUUUACUUAUUUAUUUAUUUUUUUGCCAGACUUCUUCCUAAGGAGGCUUGCCCAACCAAGUCCAUCUGGACCCAGCUUCCAGCCUGGACUAGAGUUACUGCUUCCAGUCCUAUUUGUCCAUUGUUUGCACAGCACAUGCUCCUUCAAUCAUGGGCCCACAUCAUUGUACAGGUCUCCCCUGCUUUUUUGAAGGCUCGCAUUACACCACUUCCCUUUUACAAAAGGCCUACAUUAGUACCUCUUUAUUAGCCAAAAGAAAGAGGAUUUUCAGUUUUACGAAAAUACAGCAUUUCACGUUUUGUAGCGAGCAGUUACAGAGGCAGUACCACCCCAAGCAGUAAGUAUGGUGCCAGCCAAAGAGUGGCACCUUCAAGCCCCUUCUCUGGAAACUGCAUGCAGCAUCACAAAACCAGGCCACCGGAGCUCUGAACUGUGUCUGUGAACAUCUGUGCUUUAACUCAAUGUAUUUUGUGCAUCUGUUACCAAAAUGUGUCCUAAGGUAACAGAUUUUUUGAGGUCUGGGAAUGGACAAAAAUGUUUCCAUAUAAAUUAAUGGUAAUUGCUUCUUUGCUUUACACUAUUUGGGUUAAUGAAAGAUUUCAUAGGGAUGUUCUACUUUCAGAUGGCAAGAAAUCUGUAUUACAAUUUGCUGUUCACAAUACUCUUCCAGGGAUAUUCAUGUGAUAAAAACGAAACCAGAGUCUAAGCUUCUAAGUCUGAAAGAUGGACAAUGAUCAGCUGGGACGCUGCUGGGGCAUGAACCUCCUGCGGAUGCCCUGCCUGGAGAAUGAAACUAAAUGAAACCCAAGUGCUUGAUCCAGGCAUUACUGCAGUGAGCCCUACCUCUAAACUUCUAGAUAAUUUCAACCAGCAAUUCUCUUCCUGCUUAAGCCAGAUAUCUGAAACACAACAACUAAAGAUUCCCAACCCUUACAAACGUUUAUGAGUCUUGAGCUAUCUACUAGAUGCUGGCAAAAACCACGAAGUACAAGACAGUGCCUGCUCCAAAUGAACUCUGGGCACAGAGAGUGGAGGGCCCAUAUCUCAACCAAAAUAAAACAUCAUAAAUGCUUUGGCAAUGCCUCAUGCACCAACAAAGGGGAAGAUAUGGUGAAUACUAACAGGAGGUGGCUGAACGUUACCCAAAAGGAUAUAAUGAGACAGCAAAGCCUGAUUUAGGCUUCGAAGAAUAAAGUAGGGCUUAAAAGAAGAGAAAAAUGUGCAAGGACAUUCCAGCAAGAAAAAAGUGAAUUAAAGGCAAGAAGUUUAUCUUAAGAUUUUUUUCCCCCCCGAAUGCCUAGCCCAGUCCCUUUCAUAUACGAGACACCAGAAAAAGUUUAAAGAGUAAGCAAGGGCAUAAAGAGAAAAAUGAUUAAAUGAUUUCUCUGGAGUUAAGGCCUUGCCUUGGCCAAUGACAUAAUGACCUUUUAUAACACAGCUCCUAAUAGGAAUUAUGUUCUUUUUACAAUAACCUACUUUAUGAUAUGGCUUCCAGGAAAAGUAAUAAUCAAAAAGAGUUACUGCUGUGACUGUUAAGUGGGGAGAGGGUGGCCUUAAUUAAUUGCUGGACUUGCUUUUUAUUUUUCUUUCUCACAUACGAACAAGUUCUCUAAAUGGCAUUAAUAAAUAAACACAUUUAUGGGUCACAUCGAUCAAGGGUUUCUUCCAUUUUUCAGUAAAAUUAUAAAUAUCUAAAUAUGAACACUAAUUGCAAAUUCUGAUCAGAGAAAGAACUGAAGAAAAACAAGGUUCUGAAAGCUAUGGUGGUCAAAUAGCAUGCAAGACUCAGCACAGAAUGAGAGCUUAUAUUUUAUUAAUUCAUUGUUGAAACAAUGUAGGAAAGAUGGGACUCUGCACAGGGAGUGUUUUGGGAUGAUGGGGACCUGGGCUGAUAAUCUCUGCAUCUGUCUGGAUGUGGGAAAACUGUUUUAAUUCUAAAUAUUCACGUGUGUGUGUGUGUGUGUGUGUGUGUGUAUAUAUAUAUAUAUGUAUAUAUAUGUUUUUUCCUUUCAUCGCUGUUGUGAGUUAUACAAGACAAUGCGUAUGCAGGACUGGAAGGUCAAGGAAGGACAAUAAUUGAAGAAACUAGUAAUAAGUAGAUCGCAGUAAAUAAGAGUAGAUGCUUAGGAAAGGAAGUCAUUUUGCAAAAACAAAACAGACUGAAAUCUUUAUUUUGUCUCCUUGAAAUGAGGUGAUUAGAUAAUUGGAUGUUUUAGCAAUUAGGGUGUUUCCCUUGGUAACAGCAACAGUAAUGUUUAAAUACAGUACUCCACAUUAAAAGAGAAUAUUUUGAUAAACUUCAUGAAGCUGAAGGCACCAAAGCUGACAUUGUUUAUCAUUCAACAAUUUCAUUUUUUGACGUUAUUUCCCUAAUAACCUCUUCCACGCUAAGAAAAUCAUUUGAAGGACAGCAAGAAAGGUGGUUUCCAUCCACCUGUACAAACUGUGGACCAUGAAUGUGGUCAGAUAAAG